UCUUCAUCUCUUGGAAGUGAGUAGUCGCCUCUGCCCUUCCGAGGGCAGUCCUCGUACGAGACUGGCUCUGGCCCAGCGCUGUAACGGCGGCGCCAUCAGGCUAAUCCCAGACUCCCUAGUGAGACGCGCAGCGCGGCGCUUUGCGGCAAGUGAGGGUCCUGCGCCUUGGCGUUGCUUCCUCAAGGCGUUCCUGGUCCCCCUCCAGGGCCUGGGUCUGGCUGGACAGGCCGUGACGUCUGGGCAGGUAUCCCUGUGAACCCCAGACCCGGCAUUUGCUCCCUCACCCUCUACAUGCAAGUGGGCACAAUGAGCCGUGGCCCGGCUCUGGUCCCAGGAGCAUGAGCUGGCCAGCAACUUUCUCCCGCUAACAAUAUUUCUUUUGAAAAGUGGACAAGAUUAGGCCGCCGGAAUCAUGCUGAUCCGCAGUGCUUCUCAUUCACAUCAGAAAGGGAGCAAGUUCAGUCUUGGCUUGAGCUGCAUGUGUGGACCUGUGUCACUGAAGCCGCCUGUUCUAUGGCACUUAAGGUGGGGGCCAGCAGGUGUCCUUCACCCUGUUCCACUCCCACCACUGGCACCCAGGGCAGUCACCCACCCCCAGCAGGUCGUCUCUGGGGUGGCAGUGCCAUCUCCUCUGAGGACACUGGAGACCAUUGCCCCACCACACCAGUGGGACCCUUUCCACCUGUGUCUCCUGCCUCCAAGUUGUGGUGACCUCGUGGUGCUCUCACAGGUUGGUCUUAAACUGUGCUGGAUGAGGGAGGGAUCAGCAUUUCUUGUGCGGAAGGAGCUGCUCUCUCCCGCCAUCUGACACCCCUUCUCCCUGUUGAUGGUGUGGAAGAGGUCUACAUGGAAAGAGAUCACAUUCGAGGAAUGAAGUGAUUGCAGCCUAAGGAGUUCAAGAGGAUGUAGUUGGAAGAUACGCUGUUCUGUUUAUGCCAUAAAAUUCAGAACAGUACAUUUAACAUAUCUAGAAGAUGAAUUAUUGUUCCCAUUUUCCUGCCUACUCUGGAUAAGACUUGCAUAUGUGGUCAUCACCAAUGAAGCACAAUAACAACCUUUGAUGGAGUCUUUGGAAGCCGGUAUCCACAGGCCACACUUUGAGCAAUACAGUGGCAUCAGGAGUAAUGAUGUAACCAGCAUUAAAUAAUGGAAGGAGGAACGUGUAGAGGCAAGAAGACCUAUGUUUCAAUACAAACAGGUUCUGAAAGCCAUGGCCUCAAGAGUAAUAAUGCUAUUGCUAUCAUUUCCUCCUUAUGGGCGAUAUGAAAUUAGCCAGGAACGUUUCAUAUGAUAAUAAAGAACAUGAAUAAAUGGCUCCUGAACCUGGACAGGAAGAAAUCGUGCCUGCAUAGUAUGAAAAAUAUUCACAUGCACUGAUGGAUAAUAAACAAAUAUGUAUUACAGAAAGCUACCUGGAUAGAAGUCAUGGCUACAGAAUCAUGGUGGAGACAAAUAUAUUGGCAAGCAUGAAGGUGUGGUUUGGAAACCAGGAAGUUAUGACUACUCAUAGAAAUUAAUGAAGCUAACAGUGAGGUGAUGUGGACGAAGGACAUGUGACUGAAGAUAAGGAAGUGCAGGCAUUUCAUCUGAAUUCAACUCUAAUAUUAUUUAAACAAGACUAUAAAGCAUUACUCCAUAACAACGAACUUAAUUCUCUCCUCUCAGUCAGCAGAUCAUCAGAUGUGUAAGGAACUGCCCCUUUGACUUGAGAAUUCCACUUCUAGAAAUUUUUCUCAAGGAAUUUGGUGUUUCUAGGACACAUUUAUCCCUUCGUAUAUUUGGGAGCCUCCAAGGACUGGUGAGUGGACUUAGAACUUCAAUUUCCCCAUGCUAGGCCUUGUUACAUGUUGUGCUGUGGAAAUUCCUGAGGGCACUGUAACAAGUGAUAAAAUCACAUCUGGCACUGGUUUUGGUGAGGCGUUUUAAUCAAAUGCGGGCCAGAUGAAAUCUGUUCUGCAAGAGACCCGGUGCCAAUUUAGCUGUUACCUGAUCAGUGGAACCAGCUGAAUUGUUAAAGGAUGUAGAGGCUGCCGAUUAGAAGGCGGGUAAUUGGGUAACUGUCUGUUCGCAGGACAAGCCAGAUCUGUAUUGAUCAAGAAAGGAAAAAGUCUGAAUUGAUUAACAAACCUUCUCAGCAUCAGUAAACUAAUGGUUGGUUCUAAUGUAAUUUUGCUUCCCUUCCUCAGCAAGUGGCCGAAAAUAGCUCAGUGAGGGGCUGUGGAGAAAGAGAAGGUGUUUAUAAAUCGGGAGCUUUGGCUGUUGUUUGGGGAAACCUGGUAAUGAGAAAGUGGCAGGAUUUCUGUCCCAGGCAAAGAGUGUCUCUACCCCUUGAACACUGUACAGUAGAAUUCAACACAGCUUUACACUGAAGCUUCAGUGUUGGAUCUGUGGCUCCGUGUUCUGCUCUGAAGUGAUUUCUGCUGGGAGCAAAUGUGUCGAGAAAGAGAAAGCUUUCUGAUAUCAAGAAACCUGUCACUCAGCUGCCGUGCCACAGGGGCUCUCAGGACAGUUCCUCCACAGGGACCUGACACCCGAGGCACGUCCUCUGGGAAGCUGACGGGAUUGAUACAUUGGGAAUUCUCUCCCUCUUCUUGAAGCAAAAUACACCCAGGCCCGUGCUCCCUCUUCCAUGAGGACAGGGCACCUCACCGCAGAAUGGGUAGACAGAGGUAACAUCUGUAAAUUCCCUUACUUUUUAUGUGCCCGUUAAAGAACAGGGGAAAACCUGCCCAUAGUUGUCCCGGAGAAGGUUGGAGAGCUGAGACUGCGUAUGGACGUGGGUCCACAGCUGAGACCUGAGGGCACUGGGAAAAUGUGGGUCCCUCCGCCUCCUGCCUUAGAACAGAGCCCCUGCAGACCUGCAGUGAGCCAGCUGAAGAUGUGGGCAACCCCCUGGGUCUUUCCCUCCCACAGCCCCCCACUGUUGAAGAAGCAGCACCAGUGUUGGGGGCCCUGAUUACACAGGUGAAGAGUCUCACUGAGGGCAGGAAGCCGGGAACAGAGCAGAUACUCAAUCUGGACAUGACAUGGCAUCUGACAGGGAAUGCAGAAUGUGGAAAGCACGUUGACAGUAUCUCUCUCUCAGUGUCCUGUGACUUCUAGCUCAUGGCAGUAAAACCAGAAUCAGCUUGGUUUGGUCCAGAGAACAGAGGCAGCUCCAAGGUUGAUAAAACCUAAAACAAUAACAUUUUAUUCUAAUAGAAGAAUUGGGAUGGAGAUGGCAAAAAAUAAAUAAACAGGUAAAUCAGGGGGGGCUUUACUAGGUUGUUUCUUUGUGGGUUUAAUGCCAACCAGAACAAAACGUAUUGCAAGUGUAGCACUUGGUUUUUACAAAGGACCUCCUUAUUUGAAUGCAGCUGGGAGAGAGGUUCGACAAUUCCUGGACCCAAAAGUUCUGAGUCUUCAUGAGUACUGAGUCCACAGUCACCAUCCCCUUUCUCCACACCACUGUUCGUCCAGUCUUCACUGACCCCAGACACGCAGUGAUUUGCCUGCGCUCGGGGAGACAUCCUCAGGCAUUUGCCACAUUUGUGGCUUCUCCAGAGUGUGUGGUUGCACAGCUGUGCUCGUGGACACGUUUCUCUAUGUGCACAGGUGACAGCAGCCAUGUCCCCGCCUCUGCUCACUGCGACCACCACCAAAUCCACCUCUAAAGCUGCAGAGAGGAAUGUAGAUGCAGAAGAGCUAAGCCGUCACAUCACAAACAGCGCUGUCUUCCCAACACACUCCAACCUCCUUCAACAAUAAGCAGAAGCUCUUGGGGCACCUCCAUUAACCUUGAGGAGCUUGGAAAUGAGCUCUGAAGCCUUGUCUAAGUGUUUUUAGUGUCUCACGAAGGAACCUCUGCCCUCUACGGGUUUAGCCUUCACAGCACGCAACAGGCAUAUUUAAUGAGCGUCCCAGCAGUGAGUGUAAAUUACAGCAAAUGCCCUUUUCUUGCUUGGGUUGCUGCUGUUUCGCUUUUGGAAUAUUCAGGAUUCUAGCAGUGUGAGACAUAGAAUUUCGUAGGAAGAAUUUGUAUAAAAGGCAGGAAGAUGCAAGUUGUAAGUACAGAUAAGGGUUUUCAUUCCAACUUCCAAUACUGGCAUCCAUUCUUCUGCUAGGUUAAAAUUGGGGGCUACUCUGUUUACAUAAACAUUCUCCCACCUCGAAACAAGAGACUCAUGUAUUUCCACUAGCUGUUGUCAGUAGGCAAUCAACUGCAUUCAUGCCUCCGAGGUGGGCUAGUGGAGAUUGAUUAGCUCUGUCGCUCAGGAGAUAGGCAUGAAAGGAAAUGGAUGGCUAAUAGCAGCAGAGGGAAGCCGCAAGCAGAAACCAGCUCUGUGGGCCAUCAUUGUUCAGUGCAGUUAGGCAGGAGCACCCUUGAAGAAAGGCUCCUACUUCCUAGCGGAGUGAGGAAGCCCACUGGGCCCAAGGCUGGGGUAAGGAGGGGCUGAUGUCAAGUCAGGAGCCAGAACCCAAAGUGCUGACCACUGAGAGCCCUCGGGAAGCUGCGGCUGGCUGUUGGAGACAUGGGACUAUGUCAGAGAGAGGACAGAGAGGAAGGGAGGCAGCAAAGAGGGGCCUAGGUAAGGGUGCUGCAGCGCCGACUGGGCUGUCUGUCCAGAGAAGGCGACAUUCAGGACCUGGGAGCCUCUCCCCUGUGGGAGCCCCGUGUCGGUGUGGACCUUGUUGAACAGCUCCCCCCAUCAAGUGAUCCCCUUGGGUCCACACUGUGCUCCCACCUCCGGCCAAACAGAAGGCAGAAGCCAAGCCACUUCUCUCCCUGGCUGUGGAGCAGUGCGCCCUGCAGUGCUGGAGUGCUGGUGGCUAACCAGCUGCUGGAAGACGAGGAGUGAUGUUAACACCCAUAGAUCUGUGUAUCACCAGCAACCUGGGAAACGAUUCGCAGCUUACUGGAUGACUACCUUUUCCAGGGCACACUUGUUCCCAGAUGACAUAAAGGGAUGGUGGUGGUGGCCCUCAGGACAGUGACACUUUGUCUGCCCCCCGCCAUUCCCCUGGUAACAGAUGGCAGCAGCCUUUGGAAGCCAUGUCUUUGGAGACACCCCAACGGGAGUAUCAUUUGGGUGUGUGGGGGGGUACUUUAUCCUGCCCACAAGGAGGAGAGGGUGCAUAGAGAAGGAUGUUCAAAUCAUAUUGGAAGCUUUCUUAGAAUUGUAAUAAAGUGCAUAAAAGAGACUUCUUAACUCUAUAGACCUACAUAACUGAGGUGGAAAGAGCGUUAGAUUUGGAGUUGGGACAUACUUGCGGACAUCAGAGCUGUGAGUUAGUCACUUAACAUCUUUAAGUUUUUGAGGCUCAAUUUCUCCGUCUAGAAAAUGGGCAUUAAUAAUGCUUAAUCUUCUUCUGUCACAGGAUGACUCAGAUAUUGAUGAACAUGGUGAUGAUGAUGGUGUUGUUGAUGACAAUGAUGAUAGUAAGUAAUAGGUGUCACCUACAUAGCACCUACCAUGUUCCAGGCAGUGUUGUAAGACAUCUAUUAGUUCUUUUAGCCCUCAUAUCCCUCCUAUGAGAUAGGUACCCAUAUGAUCCUCGUUUUACAGAAAUAACGGGUUGAGUGACUUACCUGCCCACAGCUGUACAGCUAGCCAGUGGUAGUAGCAAAGCAGAACUGAACCCUGCGCAGCCUGGCCUCAGGGCCUCCUCUCAUCACCUCAUGCUGUAACUUUUCCAAGAUAAUCUAUGUGUAACAACUAUCUUGGAAAUCUCUUGCCUCCAGAAGGCAGGCAUUUAGCAUGUGUUUCAUAAAGGAAGGCUUAACGAAACAUUUAAUGGAUACAUAAAGUGCUAAAAUCAUAUAAUUAGAUGCUGCCUUUAUUAGGACUAGAAAUUGGGCAGGUCUGAUCCCUACAAUCAAGGGACAAAAUCUGAAUUCUGCUCAGGCACCAAAACCAUCAGGUAGGAAAUGAGUGCCUGGGCUGCAGGCAGGAUGUCAGGAUGUGUGUGUGUGUGUGUGUGUGUGUGUGUGUGUGUGUGUGUGUGUGUGUGUGUGUGUGUGUGUGUGUGUGUGUGUGU
Aethalodelphis obliquidens (Pacific white-sided dolphin) is the source of this 6018-nucleotide long non-coding RNA. RefSeq lists it as uncharacterized. The record is from RefSeq and is a predicted model, not a curated record. The transcript is spliced from 4 exons. NCBI's taxonomy places the organism in Eukaryota, Metazoa, Chordata, Mammalia, Artiodactyla, Delphinidae.